Molecule: long non-coding RNA, 586 nt
Filed under: Phoenix dactylifera (date palm)
Lineage: Eukaryota; Viridiplantae; Streptophyta; Magnoliopsida; Arecales; Arecaceae
Description: long non-coding RNA (PDAC_LNC018288)
Source: RNAcentral
UUUCGUUGGGGACGAAAGAGGAUAGCUCGGGUCGGCUCGAGCUGUUUCGACCUAAUUUAAAAACUUUUGUUCGGUCCCCGAGACGUCUCCGCGACUAAUGCGAGACGUCUCGCCGGGGGGACGUCUCUGUGAUUUGCCAGAGACGUCUCCGGCACUGAAAAAUUUCAGACUGAUUUCCAUAUUUUUCCAAUUUAUUUUAUUCAACCACAAUAAUCAGUGUGAUUUCUUUUGGUGAAUAUAGAGUGAGUUUGCUUGUGAUCCUUCCCUUCAAUAAUACAUCCUACAAAAGUUUUUGUAAUGAUUUUUGAAUUCAUCAAUAUUGAAAUGAGGAAUGUUUGACCAAGUUUCGAAUGCCUAUGACAUAGGCACUGAAAAUAUCUCCAUGAAGAGUCCAAGGGAGGGUAACCAUCCUCCGGAAAGUCAAACAAUUCAUCAUCUAACUUUGAUAGAUUUAUGUUUUCACUUAUUAGAUACUAGGUUUGCUAUUUGUCACCUUGAAGUGGAUUAUUAGUUUGAGUAGCAAGGCAUUGCAUUACAAGUUCAAUUUAUUUGCUAGGAUCAUACAAGCACAAGGCAUUCCUUAGAA